RNAcentral lists this ribosomal RNA (450 nucleotides) under uncultured bacterium. RNAcentral describes it as "partial 16S ribosomal RNA". It matches the Rfam family "Bacterial small subunit ribosomal RNA", at positions 338 to 795 of the family's 1533-position model. The record is from RNAcentral.
CCUACGGGGGGCUGCAGUAAGGAAUAUUGGACAAUGGCGGAGACGCUGAUCCAGCUAUCCCGCGUGCAGGAUGAAGGACCUAUGGUUUGUAAACUGCUUUAGACUGGGGCGAAAAAGUGGGAUUUAUCCUACAUUGACGGUACCAGUAAAAUAAGCACCGGCUAACUCCGUGCCAGCAGCCGCGGUAAUACGGAGGGUGCCGGCGUCACCCGGAAUCACGGGGGCGAAAGGGUGUGUAGACGGCUGGCUAGAAAGGCCACGGCUUAUCCGUGGGAUUGCUUUUGAUACUGGCGAGCUUGGAUUAGGACGAGGUUGGCGGAAUGUGGCAAGUAGCGGUGAAAUGCAUAGAUAUGCCAUAGAAUACCGAUUGCGAAGGCAGCUGACUAGACCUAUAUUGACGCUGAGGCACGAAAGCGUGGGGAGCGAACAGGGUUAGAUACCCUUGUAGUC